This 443-nucleotide ribosomal RNA is filed under the name uncultured bacterium. Its description in RNAcentral is "partial 16S ribosomal RNA". It matches the Rfam family "Bacterial small subunit ribosomal RNA", at positions 338 to 795 of the family's 1533-position model. The record is from RNAcentral.
CCUACGGGAGGCAGCAGUGGGGAAUAUUGGGCAAUGGGCGCAAGCCUGACCCAGCAACGCCGCGUGAAGGAAGAAGGCCCUCGGGUUGUAAACCUCUUUUAACAGGGACGAAGAAAGUGACGUUACUCCUUGAAUAAGCCACGGCUAACUACGUGCCAGCAGCCGCGGUAAUACGUAGGUCGCAAGCGUUAUCCGGAUUUACUGGGUGUAAAGGGCGUGUAGGCGGGAGGGCAAGUCAGACGUGAAAUUCCAGGGCUCAACCCUGGAACUGCGGUUGACACUGGUCUUCUUGAGUGAUGGAGAGGCAGGCGGAAUUCCGGGUGUAGCGGUGAAAUGCGUAGAUAUACGGAAGAACACCGAUGGCGAAGGCAGCCUGCUGGACCUUAACUGACGCUGAGGCGCGAAAGCGUGGGGAGCAAACAGGAUUAGAUACCCGAGUAGUC